Molecule: long non-coding RNA, 3074 nt
Filed under: Homo sapiens (human)
Lineage: Eukaryota; Metazoa; Chordata; Mammalia; Primates; Hominidae
Description: HSALNT0108373
Source: RNAcentral
CCUCAUGUGCGCCGGCGGGUUUCAAGGAGGAAGCCGAGGAGUCCCAAUUUCUAACAGCCUUUAGCUUCGAAUUCUAAAUCCGGACCUGUUUGGGGCGUCACUUUGAGAGGGUUUCUCUUGCUCCCUCAUUCCCGCGACUACCACUCCCUCCUUCCCAAACUGCCCCCGGGGAUAGAGUGGGGGAGUGCGGGGCGCUCCGAGGCGCGCUCCCACGCGCGCACACCCAGCCCCAGGCUUCCCCUUCCCUCUCUCCACUCCCCACGCCCUGCAGCGAAACGGCCCCAGAAGCCCCUCUCCGAGGCGCGAGUUCGGUUUGGUUCUGGCAGGGGCUUUGCAGCUGUCCGGAAGGUGAAGUCAGCCUUGUGUCCUGAGGAGAAACUGGAGAUGCAGGUCGCUGUGCCCUCCCGCUGCUACGUCGCUGCGCCGGAUCCUGCCAUCCUUCCGCAAGGGGUGAGAGCGGGAACAGCCCUGCCCUGCCUUCCAGGUAUUAUCUAGCCUGGAGGCUGGAGCGCAAGGUAACGCUCCGGGAAGUGGCACUCGGGUCCCCGCACACGGGCGAGUCCUCAGCAGUUCAGUGGACAGACCCGCAGGACGCGGCUGCCAAGUCCGCGAGGCAAGGACCAGGCAUCUUCCCGCGCCUCACUCCAGCCUGCGGACUGUGACUUUCCAUCCCAGUAUCAGACAAGCUCGCGAGUAACUGAACAUCCUUUCCAGUCCAUGGGUGGGGUGUGGAAAGGGCGUAAAACUCCAAAGUGGCUCCUCCGCGGUGAGCGAGCUGCCCCGGGGCUCUGCCUGACUGCAGCGCGAAGCCUGGGAGAACAAACCCAGUUCCCUCCGUCAAGAAAUUUCCAUUUAAGUCCGAGAAAGUCAUAUGAUUGAGAAGUUCAGCAGCGGCGGCGAGGACCCAGUGUCUGGGAAAGAACACCUGGAGGAUGGGGUGUCCAGGACGCCGGCUUUUCGGGGUUCCGACCCCACCCACCUUAUGUUGUAACAUACAAGCUUAGAGACCUGUUGCAAGGAACAACUGACUGGGUCUUCCACCACCCCUGGCACCCGGGUGGCCCAAAGCCUAUGCGCCCUUGGCGGAGAGAGAGGCCACGGUGCCACUGGCCGCAGCCUCUGGCCUUCAGAAACAGUGUAUUACAAAGAAAAGGCAGUUUAAAUCUCACAUUCAGCAUAGGGAAAACUGAAGGGUGCCAGGCUCGGGGACUUCUUCCAACAGAGUGGCUCUUCCCCAAAUAUGAAAGAAAAUCAUCAAAUUAAAUUGAAGGCAAAACUAAGCUUCCACCACAAAGACAUAGCAGAUAGUUGCAAGGUGGAUUCCUUCGGGCCUUUUCCUUUCCUAAGGCUAAAACAAUGCUAAGACAAAAGUCUUCUUGCAGCUGUCUCCGCCCCUCCGAGAUAAAUACUUUCCCAAUUCUCCCCCACCCUGUACACACACCCACGCCCGCGGCAGCUGAUUUCUGUCUUCUGCAAUAGCUCGAUUUAAAUGCUUUGCUUUUACUCUUUAUUAUCACUAUUAUUUGUGUGAAGCCCUCUCGCCUGCUCCUGGUCACCAGCAGGAGCCUGCUUCCCUCCCUCCUUCCCCCCAAGCCUCUGGGCAGCAGAAGCUAGCUGGGAGCUCUGUGCAGCUGGCGGCGACGCCAUGUGACUGUGAGCCGAGCACCAUCACCCAGAGUCACUCUCUAGCUUUCCCCUAAUACACUUCACACCCACGCACUGUGGAGGUGCGAGAGAGGUUGCUCCGUGCGGUGCUAUUCGAGGCAGAUGCAGAGAGCGCCCUGGAGUAAGCUCUCCAAUCCUAGAGCUGCGCGGGACCCUGACUGAAGGCGGAGGGGGCGGGAGGGGGUGCUGUUGCUAUAUUUAGACUCCCUAUGGAGUUUCUGUGCAGGGACUUUCAGGGUGAAAGAUCUAGAGACUUAAAAUGACUCGUGUGCCCGCUUUAAACGUCAAAAUCUUGGCCUUUCUGCAAGCAGUAAAAUGAAAACCACUUCCUCUUAACUUAGCUGUUUUCCUUGUUGCAGACUGCUACUUUCGCUGGGUAGGUAAAGUCACUUCCAUCUCUCUGGCGCGGCUGGGCCCCGCGUGCAGGCAAGAAGUCUCAGGAAGGCAGGACACAGGGACACGUUUCCCUGGAAGACAGCCAGCUGUUUAAUUUCUAAGUGAUGCUUUUCUGGGGAUGCAGCAUUAGUUCUAGUGAAACUGUAUUAUUGAUUAAGCAAAUGCCAUUUAAGCUUAAUUAAAAAAUAAAAAAGACCCGGUUACUGGUAGCCGUUUUGAGCUGCUGAGAAGGACCUUUCACUUAUGUCUUCUAGAGUAACCGCCAUUUGGAUACACAGCCCAGAAAAAGAGGGCCUGCUCAAGUUUUCGCGGGUAGUGUGAGAGUUACUAGGAAUCCAACAACCUGGCUUCCUAGUUCACUGUUCCUUCCACCAAUCAAUCUGCAUCUCCAGCAGAGAAUGGAUAAAAUAGCAAACAGUUCUGGGGUUUUGUAUCAAUCUCUGACUGCAACCAUUGGGAAAGACUGGCUUAGCUGAAGUUCUAACCUUCCUACCUUUCAAUGCCCAGAAAGAAAAAGCCAAGUGAGUCUGUGCCAACCUCUCCUACAAGAGCCUCUGUUUGCACCUUGCUUUAUUUGCUACCUGCUAACUUCCCUCAAAAGACGGGAAUUAACUUUGGAGAAAAUAAGAAAUUAAUCAGAGAACCCAGGACAACGUCAGAGAUCAUAUGAGCCUCACCAGACUGCAUGAGAGUCAUAACACAGUAGGAGUCCCAGGCCUACCUCACAUGGCAAAUGGGACAGUGUUCUUCAGAACAACCUCUGCCCCAGGGAUGCAGAAAGGAGGUGGGUGUGAAUGAGUGUGGCUGUAAGGAGAGGCUGGUAGAGAAAUAGUGCGGAAAGGGCUCAACAAGUUCUCACCAUUUUUAUUCCAGCAGCUAACAAAAUUACUGUUUCUAGGAAUUACUGAAAUAUUGUGCUGAUCACAAUUGUUGAAGCAAAAUAAUAGCAAAUACUUAUCAUGUGUUUUGUAUGUGUUAGGCACUGUGGUUUACAGUAAUUAUUUCAGGCCGGA